RNAcentral lists this ribosomal RNA (429 nucleotides) under Chloroflexota bacterium. RNAcentral describes it as "Chloroflexi bacterium partial 16S ribosomal RNA". It matches the Rfam family "Bacterial small subunit ribosomal RNA", at positions 355 to 776 of the family's 1533-position model. The record is from RNAcentral. Lineage: Bacteria; Bacillati; Chloroflexota.
UGGGGAAUAUUGCACAAUGGGCGCAAGCCUGAUGCAGCCAUGCCGCGUGUGUGAAGAAGGCCUUCGGGUUGUAAAGCACUUUCAGCGGGGAGGAAGGCGAUAAGGUUAAUAACCUUGUCGAUUGACGUUACCCGCAGAAGAAGCACCGGCCAACUCCGUGCCAGCAGCCGCGGUAAUACGGAGGGUGCAAGCGUUAAUCGGAAUUACUGGGCGUAAAGCGCACGCAGGCGGUCUGUCAAGUCGGAUGUGAAAUCCCCGGGCUCAACCUGGGAACUGCAUGCGGAACUGACAGGCUAGGGUCUUGUAGAGGGGGGUAGAAUUCCAGGUGUAGCGGUGAAAUGCGUAGAGAUCUGGAGGAAUACCGGUGGCGAAGGCGGCCCCCUGGACAAAGACUGACGCUCAGGUGCGAAAGCGUGGGGAGCAAACAGG